GGGGACAUGUUGGAGAGGGGCACCCGA
Molecule: non-coding RNA, 27 nt
Filed under: Cricetulus griseus (Chinese hamster)
Lineage: Eukaryota; Metazoa; Chordata; Mammalia; Rodentia; Cricetidae
Source: RNAcentral